Molecule: ribosomal RNA, 420 nt
Filed under: bacterium
Lineage: Bacteria
Description: partial 16S ribosomal RNA
Rfam family: Bacterial small subunit ribosomal RNA
Source: RNAcentral
UGGGGGAUAUUGCACAAUGGGCGAAAGCCUGAUGCAGCGACGCCGCGUGGGGGAUGAAGGCUUUCGGGUUGUAAACCUCUUUCGCUAUCGAACAAGGCCCGCUUAGGGUGGGUUGAGGGUAGGUGGAGAAGAAGCGCCGGCUAACUACGUGCCAGCAGCCGCGGUAAUACGUAGGGCGCGAGCGUUGUCCGGAAUUAUUGGGCGUAAAGGGCUUGUAGGCGGCUUGUUGCGCCUGCUGUGAAAACGGGGGGCUUAACUUCGCGCGUGCAGUGGGUACGGGCAGGCUUGAGUGUGGUAGGGGUGACUGGAAUUCCAGGUGUAGCGGUGGAAUGCGCAGAUAUCUGGGGGAACACCGAUGGCGAAGGCAGGUCACUGGGCCAUUACUGACGCUGAGGAGCGAAAGCAUGGGUAGCGAACAGG